GGGUGGCGAGACUCGUUACUACUCCAGCCUGGACUUGAAGUCGGGCUACUGGCAAGUCCCGAUGGCGGACGAGGCUUCUAAGGAGCGUACGGCAUUUGCCACGCCCACAGCUCAGUAUCGAUAUGUACGAAUGCCCAUGGGUCUAAAGGGAGCAGCCGCCGUGUUCGCUACCCUGAUGCACAAGGUUCUGGGCCCACUACUAGAGGAUUCGCCUCCACCCCCUGCUUCAUUGGAUAGCCCACCGCGGGAACGGUGUGUAGUGGUUUAUCUGGAUGAUAUCCUUAUCUUCAGCCCAACACUACAAGAUCAUGUACGACAUCUUCAGCAAGUGUUCGACCUUCUCCGAAUGGCUGGUCUCAAGAUCGCAGCUAAGAAGUGCACGUUUGGCCAACAACGCGUGGUUUUCCUUGGUCAUCUACUUGACGGAGUACGUGGUGUCGUGGGACCUAACCCCACCAACGUCAUGAAAAUUGCAGAACUUCCGUCGCCAUCCAAUGUUCGCGAAGUACGAGCAUGGCUGGGAGCUGUUGGUUACUACCGGGAACUUAUCCCUGGCUUCGGCUUGAUUGCACAACCAUUGUAUGCGCUACUUAAGCAGGGGACACCCUGGUGCUGGGGUCCAAGAGAAGAAGACGCUUUUCAAGAGCUACGUAAUGCUUUGCUGGGGGAGCCUGUUCUCCGCGCACCUGGUUUCCGACGCCCGUUCUUGGUCCAAGUCGACUGGUGCCGCACUGCCGUCGCCGCGUGCCUGGCCCAGCAGGACAACAAAGGAUAUGAAUACGCCGUUCAGUUUGCUAGUAAGGCUAUGACUGGCCCACAGCUGAAUUACAGCGCGGCAGAUGGAGAGGCCUACGCUGCCUUAUGGGCAAUUAAACACUUUCACCCCUACUUGUACGGCACUCAUUUUGUACUCAUCACGGAUUCGAUGGCGGUUCGGUCUUUGCGGACUGCACGCGCUCGAGAUCUUCUGGGAAAGCUGGCUCGAUAUGCGCUCAAGCUUCAAGCCUACGACUUUUAAGUGAUGCAUAAGGCCGGACGCAAGAAUUCAAACGUGGAUGGUUUGAGCCGCUUGGGACAUCUGAUGGAGCCCCACCGUAAUUUGCCUACAGAGAUCGACCCCAGUCCGGACCCACUUGAGGAUGCCGCCAUCUUGGCAUGCUCAAUUGCAGCCGUCGCCUCCGAGGUUCAGAUCCUCAUAACUGAACAGGAAGAGGAGUGUAGCCGCGGCAUCAGACCGGAUGAGCCGUCCACAGUGGCUGUACACCAGCCUCCGGCUCUAUCGUUGCCUACACCAGAGCACAACCCCUUGCGUGAAGCAACCAGACCCCUGGUCCCGCUUGGCAAGCGACGCUUGGAUAGGUCAGCUCGUCUGACAUCUGGAGCACCAGAUGAGA
Molecule: long non-coding RNA, 1394 nt
Filed under: Volvox carteri
Lineage: Eukaryota; Viridiplantae; Chlorophyta; Chlorophyceae; Chlamydomonadales; Volvocaceae
Description: long non-coding RNA (VCAR_LNC001406)
Source: RNAcentral